This 382-nucleotide ribosomal RNA is filed under the name Pinnularia viridiformis. RNAcentral's name for it is "SSU rRNA". It matches the Rfam family "Eukaryotic small subunit ribosomal RNA", at positions 582 to 971 of the family's 1831-position model. Lineage: Eukaryota; Bacillariophyta; Bacillariophyceae; Sellaphorales; Pinnulariaceae. The record is from RNAcentral.
AUUCCAGCUCCAAUAGCGUAUACUAAAGUUGUUGCAGUUAAAAAGCUCGUAGUUGAAUUUGUGGUGGUUCCUGUGUUACCAAAAUGUUUUGGUACCUCUUGGAACUCCCAUCUGUGGGUGGAACCUGUGAGGCAUUAGGUUGUUUUGUGGGGGAUGCUCACCAUUUACUGUGAAAAAAUUAGAGUGUUCAAAGCAGGCUUACGCCAUUGGAUAGAUUAGCAUGGAAUAAUGAAAUAAGACUUGGGUACUAUUUUGUUGGUUUAUGCACCAAAGUAAUGAUUAAUAGGGACAGUUGGGGGUAUUCGUAUUCCAUUGUCAGAGGUGAAAUUCUUGGAUUUCUGGAAGACGAACCACUGCGAAAGCAUUUACCAAGGAUGUUUUC